GACGAACGCUGGCGGCGUGCUUAACACAUGCAAGUCGAACGAAGUGGCGAACGGGUGAGUAAUACGUGGGUAACCUUCCCUCCUUUUUGGGAUAAGCCUUGGAAACGGGGUCUAAUACCGAAUAAAGGGGGAUGGGCUCGCGGCCUAUCAGCUUGUUGGUGGGGUGAUGGCCUACCAAGGCGGUGACGGGUAGGCGGCCUGGGAGGGUGACCGGCAAUAUUGGGACGGAGAUACGGCCCAGACUCCUACGGGAGGCAGCAGUGGGGGAUAUUGCACAAGGGGCGAAAGCCUGUUGCAGCGAUGCCGCGUGGGGGUUGAAGGUUUUCGGGUUGUAAACCUGUUUCGCUAUCGAAGGGGUAGGUGGAGAAGAAGCGCCGGCUAACUACGUGCCAGCAGCCGCGGUAAUUC
Molecule: ribosomal RNA, 408 nt
Filed under: uncultured bacterium
Lineage: Bacteria
Description: partial 16S ribosomal RNA
Rfam family: Bacterial small subunit ribosomal RNA
Source: RNAcentral